GACGAACGCUGGCGGCGUGCUUAACACAUGCAAGUCGAACGAAGAGCGGUGGAAGCUGGCUUCUAUCACUCUUAGUGGCGAACGGGUGAAGAACGCGUGAUCAACCUGCCCUUCGGGGAAUAACAACAGGUGGAAGCGACUGCUAAUACCGCAUACGUUCUAAUCUCAGCAUCUAUGAGAGUUGAAAGGUGGCCUCGACAUGUAAGCUAGUACGUAAGGAGGUGAUUGCGUCUGACUAGCUAGGUGGAGGGGUAUGGGCGCACAAAGGCGAGGAUCAGUAGCCGGUCUGAGAGGCGGAACUGCGACACUGGGACGGAGACACGACCCAGAAUACUACGGGAGGCAGCAGUGGCGAAUCCUCCGCAAUGGACGCAAGUAGGACGGAGCAACGCUGCGUGAGUGACGACGGCAUCCGGGUUGUAAAGAUCUGUUAAUCGGGACGAAAGGCAUUUUUGCGAACAGUUAGAAGGAUUGACGGUAACGGAAGAGAAAGCCACGGCUAACUACGUG
This 510-nucleotide ribosomal RNA is filed under the name uncultured bacterium. RNAcentral describes it as "partial 16S ribosomal RNA". It matches the Rfam family "Bacterial small subunit ribosomal RNA", at positions 28 to 507 of the family's 1533-position model. The record is from RNAcentral.